GACGAACGCUGGCGGCGUGCUUAACACAUGCAAGUCGAACGGAAAGGCCCUGCUUUUGUGGGGUGCUCGAGUGGCGAACGGGUGAGUAACACGUGAGUAACCUGCCCUUGACUUUGGGAUAACUUCAGGAAACUGGGGCUAAUACCGGAUAGGAGCUCCUGCUGCAUGGUGGGGGUUGGAAAGUUUCGGUGGUUGGGGAUGGACUCGCGGGUUAUCAGCUUGUUGGUGGGGUAGUGGCUUACCAAGCCUUUGACGGGUAGCCGGCCUGAGAGGGUGACCGGCCACAUUGGGACUGAGAUACGGCCCAGACUCCUACGGGAGGCAGCGGUGGGGAGUAUUGCACAAUGGGCGGAAGCCUGAUGCAGCAACGCCGCGUGCGGGAUGACGGCCUUCGGGUUGUAAACCGCUUUCGCCUGUGACGAAGCGUGAGUGACGGUAAUGGGUAAAGAAGCACCGGCUAACUACGUG
RNAcentral lists this ribosomal RNA (468 nucleotides) under uncultured bacterium. Its description in RNAcentral is "partial 16S ribosomal RNA". It matches the Rfam family "Bacterial small subunit ribosomal RNA", at positions 28 to 507 of the family's 1533-position model. The record is from RNAcentral.